This 73-nucleotide transfer RNA is filed under the name Picrophilus oshimae DSM 9789. Its description in RNAcentral is "tRNA-Thr". The stretch from base 11 to 73 matches the Rfam family "tRNA", at positions 1 to 61 of the family's 71-position model. From Rfam's summary of the family: Transfer RNA (tRNA) molecules are approximately 80 nucleotides in length. Their secondary structure includes four short double-helical elements and three loops (D, anti-codon, and T loops). The record is from RNAcentral. Lineage: Archaea; Methanobacteriati; Thermoplasmatota; Thermoplasmata; Thermoplasmatales; Picrophilaceae.
UACAUUUAAAGCCACUGUAGCUCAGCAGGCAGAGCAGCUGAUUCGUAAUCAGCAGGUCGGGGGAUCGAAACCC